UACGGGGGGGGCAAGCGUUGUUCGGAAUUACUGGGCGUAAAGGGCUCGUAGGCGGCCAACUAAGUCAUACGUGAAAUCCCUCGGCUUAACCGGGGAACUGCGUCUGAUACUGGAUGGCUUGAGUUCGGGAGAGGGAUGCGGAAUUCCAGGUGUAGCGGUGAAAUGGCGUAGAUAUCUGGAGGAACACCGGUGGCGAAGGCGGCAUCCUGGACCGAUACUGACGCUGAGGAGCGAAAGCCAGGGGAGCAAACGGG
RNAcentral lists this ribosomal RNA (254 nucleotides) under uncultured bacterium. Its description in RNAcentral is "partial 16S ribosomal RNA". It matches the Rfam family "Bacterial small subunit ribosomal RNA", at positions 524 to 776 of the family's 1533-position model. The record is from RNAcentral.